CAACCACAGAUGCACAAGAGCUGAGGCAUCUCCCAAGCCAAAUACCUGCAUCCAAGAUCUUGUCAUGUUCUAUUUUGGAGAAACCCAAGUGAAGAUGUAUUCUUCCUUGAGUAAUUUCAGACGCUGGUGUCAUCUGUGGAUCCUCCGGGGUUAAAAAUCCAUGGACACAAUCUCUAAAUCCUAUUCCAGUUCCUAUGGUCUUAGAGAGAAAAAUCUCAUUAAGUGAGAAUCUAAUGGGCUGGAAAAAUUCAACAGACUAACCUCAGAUGAAGUAAUAUAUUUGUUGAAAAAAAUAGCACCUGUUAGCUGGAAAAUAAUGAUACAUUGACUUAC
Molecule: small RNA, 333 nt
Filed under: Pongo abelii (Sumatran orangutan)
Lineage: Eukaryota; Metazoa; Chordata; Mammalia; Primates; Hominidae
Description: processed transcript
Source: RNAcentral